This 301-nucleotide ribosomal RNA is filed under the name uncultured bacterium. RNAcentral's name for it is "partial 16S ribosomal RNA". It matches the Rfam family "Bacterial small subunit ribosomal RNA", at positions 509 to 807 of the family's 1533-position model. The record is from RNAcentral.
CAGCAGCCACGGGAAUACAGAGGGUGCGAGCGUUAAUCGGAUUUACUGGGCGUAAAGCGUGCGUAGGCGGCUUCUUAAGUUGGAUGUGAAAUCCCUGAGCUUAACUUAGGAAUUGCAUUCGAUACUGGGAAGCUAGAGUAUGGGAGAGGAUGGUAGAAUUCCAGGUGUAGCGGUGAAAUGCGUAGAGAUCUGGAGGAAUACCGAUGGCGAAGGCAGCCAUCUGGCCUAAUACUGACGCUGAGGUACGAAAGCAUGGGGAGCAAACAGGAUUAGAUACCCCGGUAGUCCCUGUCUCUUAUAC